CCUACGGGAGGCAGCAGUGAGGAAUAUUGGUCAAUGGUCGGGAGACUGAACCAGCCAAGCCGCGUGAGGGAUGAAGGUACAGAGUAUCGUAAACCUCUUUUGUCAGGGAACAAAGGCGGGGACGCGUCCCCGGAUGAGUGUACCUGAAGAAAAAGCAUCGGCUAACUCCGUGCCAGCAGCCGCGGUAAUACGGAGGAUGCGAGCGUUAUCCGGUUUUAUUGGGUUUAAGGGGGGCGCAGGCGGUCUGUUAAGUCAGCGGUAAAAGCUCGGGGCUCAACCCCGGCCCGCCGUUGAAACUGGCAGUCUCGAGUUGGAGAGAAGUAUGCGGAAUGCGCGGUGUAGCGGUGAAAUGCAUAGAUAUCGCGCAGAACUCCGAUUGCGAAGGCAGCAUGCCGGCUCCACACUGACGCUGAUGCACGAAAGCGUGGGUAUCGAACAGGAUUAGAUACCCGGGUAGUC
This 459-nucleotide ribosomal RNA is filed under the name uncultured bacterium. Its description in RNAcentral is "partial 16S ribosomal RNA". It matches the Rfam family "Bacterial small subunit ribosomal RNA", at positions 338 to 795 of the family's 1533-position model. The record is from RNAcentral.